Molecule: ribosomal RNA, 459 nt
Filed under: uncultured bacterium
Lineage: Bacteria
Description: partial 16S ribosomal RNA
Rfam family: Bacterial small subunit ribosomal RNA
Source: RNAcentral
CAGACGGGAGGCAGCAGGGAGGAAUAUGGGGCAAUGGGAGAGAGAAGGAAAAAGACAAGGAGAGGGAGGGAAGACGGUCCUAUGGAUUGUAAACCUCUUUUGUCGGGGAGCAAAAGACGCCACGCGUGGCGUUCCGAGAGUACCCGAAGAAAAAGCAUCGGCUAACUCCGUGCCAGCAGCCGCGGUAAUACGGAGGAUGCGAGCGUUAUCCGGAUUUAUUGGGUUUAAAGGGUGCGUAGGCGGGAUGCCAAGUCAGCGGUAAAAAUGCGGUGCUCAACGCCGUCGAGCCGUUGAAACUGGCGUUCUUGAGUGGGCGAGAAGUAUGCGGAAUGCGUGGUGUAGCGGUGAAAUGCAUAGAUAUCACGCAGAACUCCGAUUGCGAAGGCAGCAUACCGGCGCCCUACUGACGCUGAGGCACGAAAGCGUGGGUAUCGAACAGGAUUAGAUACCCGAGUAGUC